CAUAAUACCGAAACUGUGGAAGAACCUCUUUAGAGGAUCGUGGUAGGAGAGCGUUCUAAGGGCGGUGAAGACAGACCGGAAGGACUGGUGGAGCGCAUAGAAGUGAGAAUGCCGGUAUGAGUAGCGAAAGAAGGGAGAGAAUCCCUACCACCGAAUAUCUAAGGUUUCCUGAGGAAGGCACGUCCGCUCAGGGUUAGACGGGACCUAAGCCGAGGCCGAUAGGCGUAGGCGAUGGACAACAGGUA
RNAcentral lists this ribosomal RNA (245 nucleotides) under Listeria monocytogenes. Its description in RNAcentral is "partial 23S ribosomal RNA". It matches the Rfam family "Bacterial large subunit ribosomal RNA", at positions 1187 to 1431 of the family's 2925-position model. Lineage: Bacteria; Bacillati; Bacillota; Bacilli; Caryophanales; Listeriaceae. The record is from RNAcentral.